UGUGUUUUAAGCCGGGUGUUACCCGGCUUACUCACCGCCUUAUUUUAAAACCCGAGGAGAGCGGAGGAGCCCCGUGACUCACCCCACCGCCCCGCUCCUCCCUGCUGGCCCCAGCUCCGAGUUCAGCCCCCAGGGAGAUGAUGCGAGACCAGAUUCAGGGCACAGAAGUUUCCAAGGCUGGCACUGCCCUGGGGUCAGCUCUCCAUUGUCUCACGCCACUGCACAGCCAAAGCAAAGACCAUGGAGGGGACAACUUCAUAAGGCACAGCAGCCCCCGACGUGUCCAGCACAGGACACUUGGAGCAUCCACGAGCUGCCCAUAACCCCCAAAUUCAUCUUCUGUACGUGUAAGGCCAGCCUGCCCCGGAGCACCCAGCAACGUGGGACCUGAGAGCAACGUGUGAAAUUGGGAAGCGAAAAUCAGAGCAUCACCUCUGGGCAAGCCCAGGAGUCACGGGUGGUGCUCAAAAUGAUCUCCAGAUGCACUGAGAUACGAGAACACCCUCAGCAACAACACCCACGAGGGCAGCGGCCGUGUCCCGUGGCCAGGGCUGGGAUCUAUCCCCUCGGGCACGUUGCGAUUCCUCAUCCCGGGUAAGGACAACACCUCAGCUCAGGUGGGCAGGGGACAUGAGGCAGGGACGGAGGAAGGAAGGAAGUCAUUAAGGACAGGACAGGAGGUGUCCCGUCAUCAUCGCUGCUGCUGCUGGGCGGAGGUUGCCCUAUAACCAUGAGCAUGGGGCACGUUGUGUGCUCGUGAGCUGUCCCACAGCCCCGGGGCAGGCAAAGCCCUCCGGUGCUGCUUCGUUUUGUGGUCAGUUCCCAUUUCUUGAAACCUUUGGGAUGGCAGAGCCAGAGCUGUCUGAGUGCCUGCCUGACCCCACAGCAGGAGGGGCCACCUUUGGCCAGACAAGGAGGAAUUCCCAACGCGUGGCUGCAGCCUGCCACGGAGGAGAAACCUGCCCUGAAAAACACUGGGGGACUCCAGGGUGUCCACACGGAGGAAGGAUUGAACCUGGUGGCCAAACAGCAAUAGGAACUCGCCCACGAAAAGGUGCUCGGUCAUUUCAUGACACCCCGGGGUUUGCAUCACCCGGGUCGGGCCGGUUGUGGCCUGACUAAGAUCUCGUGGGAGACAAACAACCGGCCUAAUUGCUCCGGGGACAAAUUCCUUCUGACACACACACACACACACACACACACACGUCUGAUAACAUCAAUUACCUGGCAAACAGACUGAUUCAAGGGCUGUGGGUGUUUCCAGAGGUGAUAAACAUGACGGGAGGAGGCUGGAAACACGCUGGCAAAGGCAAGGAGCUGUAAGGCUCUGCAUCUGUCAGGGGCACACACUCAGGGGAAACGGAGAUGCCAGGGUGUCAUUCACGUGUCCCUGCAAGCUUCCAGCAUCAUAAAAGAAACCUCAGACCUCUAUUUAAAAAAAUUAAAAGGAAAAGAAGAAAUCAAAGCUAGGCUGUGCUAGCUAGGAUGUCAAAAUCUCCUGCGUUAGCAGGGAAUAUGUUGAAUAAAAACCAUUUCGGAGUGCUUGGAGCCCUCUCCUCCAUGAGCCCCUUCCAAACCUCUUCAGCCCCAUCCCAGUCUCCGUCCUUACCCCACCCCAUCACUGCAGGUGAGUCCUGUGUGCCUUGGGGUGCAGUAAAAGGG
Molecule: non-coding RNA, 1662 nt
Organism: Anas platyrhynchos (mallard)
Lineage: Eukaryota; Metazoa; Chordata; Aves; Anseriformes; Anatidae
Source: RefSeq, a predicted model, not a curated record